GCAAACUUGGUCAUUUAGAGGAAGUAAAAGUCGUAACAAGGUUUCCGUAGGUGAACCUGCGGAAGGAUCAUUAAAAGGUCUUGUCGAGUCCCUCUCAUGGGCGCUCGGCAUUCCUGAUCAUCCCUCUUGUGCACUUUUGAUGAAAUGCUUUGGUAGAUGAAAAUCUACCAAAAGUUUAUUCAUAGACUUUUUCUUGACGUCUGAAUAAAAGUAAAUUAAAAUUUUUUAAAAUACAACUUUCAACAACGGAUCUCUUGGCUCUCGCAUCGAUGAAGAACGCAGC
This 283-nucleotide unclassified non-coding RNA is filed under the name uncultured fungus. RNAcentral's name for it is "partial contains small subunit ribosomal RNA, internal transcribed spacer 1, and 5.8S ribosomal RNA". The stretch from base 1 to 73 matches the Rfam family "Eukaryotic small subunit ribosomal RNA", at positions 1759 to 1831 of the family's 1831-position model. Lineage: Eukaryota; Fungi. The record is from RNAcentral.